Long non-coding RNA from Talpa occidentalis (Iberian mole), 3392 nucleotides. RefSeq lists it as uncharacterized. The record is from RefSeq and is a predicted model, not a curated record. NCBI's taxonomy places the organism in Eukaryota, Metazoa, Chordata, Mammalia, Eulipotyphla, Talpidae. The transcript has 3 exons.
CUGAGACCCCUCCCCGGUCCUUUCCUGACCACACCUCCGCAGCCCCUCCUGUCCCCGGCCACUGCUUGCACUCCAGCUGGUGUAGGGUUUACACAUGCCUCAUGUCUCCACUGUGGACCUAUCUGAGGGGGCCUGAGGAGGACCCUGCUCCAGGGCUUGAGGACAGAGAAGGCCCUGCACUCUUACCUCCACCAGGCUCCUGCGGAUAUCACCCAGCAUGGAGAGGACAUCUUGCGUGGGCACCACCCCUGGGGGAGACACCGACCAUGAUGAGCACUGCUGUGGCUGCUGAGGCAUCCAGAUGCUCUUCCUGCCCUGGCCUCUCACCACAAGGACUCUGAGCGGCCCACCCACAGGGUGGCCACGAUCUCAUGAAUGACCUUCAUCAGCUGCUGAAAUAUUAAUGACCUGAUUCUUCUUUUUAUGUGGAAAUUAAAACAGGCAUCAGGACCAGUGGCCUUGAAAGAUCACUUUAAAUGUCCCUUUAGGUUAAUGUCAAAUCACUGAAAAUUGUCCCUUGAGUGCAACUCUGAAGCCAGUUAUUCAACCAAGUAUUAAUGAAAAGACACACAAUUCAAAAAUCAUUUGUAUAAAACAGAGCUGCAAGGGAAGAACCUCUCGUCAGCAUGAUGAAAAACUACUCAAUGAUCAACCUCAAUAUGUAAAUUAAAUGAUGACAAAUUUUUUGGACUACGAACUUGACAUAUGUCUAUGCUUAAAGAUCAUUGUCCGGUAUUAGACAAGGCAGGAAACAGGCCUCCAUCCACUGCUGAGAGGAAUGGAAAUCGGGACCCAUUCUGGAGGGCUACUGGGCGAUCUGAAUGAAAAGCUUUAAAGACAAACAUUCUGGAUCUACAGUUUCAGAAAUGCACCCUGAGGAGGCAAUUAAGGAUGUUCACAGCAGCGUGGUUUUCAGCAUCCCCUCCAGGAGCAGUCCACCUUACCAGAGACUGCAAACAGUCUGGCUUUCACAGCGCAGGGGACCCACUGAAGAAAUGGGAGCCCAUCCACAUAUUUUAUGUAUUUCCCAUACGGGAAAAGAGUCCAGAAAGAUAAAUGCUAAAGUGUUAACAUUUGGUAACUCUGGGUGAUGGGAUCGUGAGCUGGUUUUGUUUUUUUCUUUUAACCUAUUUGCAUUUUCUAGUCCUCACAUGAUGAUAAAUUACUUAGCAUAAACUGAAAACACAGGGCUUUUUCUUCCCUUUUUUGGAGGCUAGGUGACGAUGCUUCUGGUAGCUACUGGUAGCUACUCUCCUCCUCUUAGUAGCCAUGUUACUUUUAGUUAGCCUUAGUGAUCCAGCAGGUCAAAUCUUUCUGUAGCAGAUACCAUCGCUGCAAGGAUUCACCCAGUAGAAACCACGUCCAGAUACUAGCAGCCAGCUGCAGUGAUGAUCUGGCCCGCAAAAUUCAUUACAGGCAACAGUAAUUACAAUAGUGUAAUGAAUGAUUUCCUAUGGCAAAGGAACAGAUCUUGAAGUAGAAAUUUCAGAUUUGAAAUUUAGCUCUGCCACUUAUUACCCGAGUGAUUCUGUGCCACUUUUAAAUCUCCCUAAGCCAGUUUCUUUAGCCAUAAAACAGCAAUACUAGGAAAUGACGGCUUUUCACAGAUUUCAUUAGGUUGCUGUGAAGUUUUUUGAAAUUAUAUGAAAAAGAUUCUUAAAAUGUAAGCACUUCAUGACUGUUCCUUACUCAAGUGCAAUGUGGUUUAUGCCAGCCAUCAUUUCAUGCCCCUCUUUCCAUUAAUGGCAACUCAAUUCUUUUUUUGUGUGGCACCUUGCCCCUCUUCUGGAUCCAGGAAUGUGAAGCCCUACCCUCUGGCUUCAGAGGGCCCUCUAGACCCAUUCUUAGCCAGUUAAAGGACUCUGUCCUCAGGACUUUAAGAUUGGUUUUGAGGUGUGCUCAUGACCCAGGCCGGACUAAUGAACUAAUACGCAGACUUUCCUGGAAGCACUGGGAAAGCAGAGUUCUCGCCCUGCUAGGGUUGCAGCAGGGAAGGAGGAUGAAGCUGGAGUUACUGGGGGUUUUCUAAGCUUCCACACAGGAACAGCCUGCCUAAAAAUGAAGCCAAGAAUGGGGGUGAAGCUCCAUGGAGCAAGGCAGUUCUCACAGUUUCAAUAACUGAACCCCCCAACCCCCGCGCCCCCGCCAGCUAGCUCCAGAAACCUGUCCCUGGACCCUGCAGCUACUGACCCAAUAAAAUCCCUAUUUCCCACGGGCCUGGAAGCCUGAAUCCUGUUUCUAGAACUUGCUGUCCCCCAAGAGUUUUCUUUUUUCUCGUAGUUCAUUCACUAGAAAACUUACAACUGCAUGCAAGGAUCAUUUUAUUAAGGAUGUUGGGAAAUGAAAGGGGUGGAGGGCGACAGCAAGAACAGUCUUGGGAUGAAAAGGUAACCUGGGUAACAGUUUUGCGAGAAUGAGCUGAUCAGGCUUUCCGAAGGCCCAGGGCGAGCUGGUGGAGUGGCCAUCCAUAUUCCAUUUCCCCCCUACUUUGUUGGGGCCAUGUUUUUCCCCUGUGAUGUCACAGAAUCAUAUUUUAAAGAUGGAAGGGCUUCAGUGUAUCAUUUCCAUGGUCUUACUCUGCAGAUGAAGAACGUGCAGCUGGGGUAUUAAGAAGAAUGGGUGCAACGUGCCUUUGUACAGCUUGCGUUCCUGAAUGGCAGCUGCUUUUAGUCUUAAGGGACUGAUGGGAGAAGAAGCGAGAUGAAAUGAGGCUAUCAGAAGGGUGGCAGGGCAAAUCUGAGCUAAUCAAAGCAUGAGGGGGUCCCACGUGUCCUCAGGAAGGUCUAGGUGUACAGCCAUCUCUCUCGACCGAGGCUGAGUGAUGCUUAUCUUAGACUGGAACCCCAGCGAUCUGAGCAGACGGAAAGGCCCAGGAUGUCUAAGGGCAUAUAAUUGUCUGGUACAAAGUAAAAGAUCACCUAUGUGGGGAAAAUGCAUUUGAUCUCUGUCGUACAUCAUACCCCAAAAUAAAUUAGAGCUAGAAUUAAAAAGAAGGAAAAAAUGAAGCAAAUGGGCUCCUGCUGGGCAAGAACACUGGCACAGCCGCUCUGGCCAGGGGCACAAACAUGCUUCGUCCUCUCUGUAAUCAGCCCAAGGCUUGGGACAUUCUGGCUGCAUCCCAGGCCUCAGGCUUGCUUCGGGCCCUAAAUACUCUCCAAGUUUGGGAAUCCCUGAACCCAGCUCAGGCACAGGACCAAGGGACGGGCAUUAGAAUGCCUUGACCAGGGUCAGGGAGCCCUAAGGAGGAGCAGCAUCGGCCCACCUCUGGGACACGUCACCAGGGAGAAGACAGCAGCGUGGGAGGAGAAGCACACACAGAGCCCUGGGUGCUGUGAAGGCCUGUGCUGACAUCUGAACAGCGAGCUCGGAACUUCUCUAAGCCGUUAUUUCCU